RNAcentral lists this ribosomal RNA (435 nucleotides) under uncultured Petrimonas sp. RNAcentral's name for it is "bacterial SSU rRNA". It matches the Rfam family "Bacterial small subunit ribosomal RNA", at positions 947 to 1382 of the family's 1533-position model. The record is from RNAcentral. Lineage: Bacteria; Pseudomonadati; Bacteroidota; Bacteroidia; Bacteroidales; Dysgonomonadaceae.
AAUUUCGAUGAUACGCGAGGAACCUUACCCGGGCCUUGAAAUGCAUCUGACCGGCCUUGAAAGAGGUUUUCCCUUCGGGCAGAUGUGUAGGUGCUGCAUGGUUGUCGUCAGCUCGUGCCGUGAGGUGUCGGCUUAAGUGCCAUAACGAGCGCAACCCUCAUCAUUAGUUACCAUCAGGUAAGGCUGGGGACUCUAAUGAGACUGCCAUCGUAAGAUGUGAGGAAGGUGGGGAUGACGUCAAAUCAGCACGGCCCUUACGGCCUGGGCUACACACGUGCUACAAUGGUCGGUACAAAGGGUUGCCAAGCCGCGAGGUGGAGCUAAUCCCAUAAAACCGAUCGUAGUCCGGAUCGCAGUCUGCAACUCGACUGCGUGAAGUCGGAAUCGCUAGUAAUCGUGAAUCAGAAUGUCACGGUGAAUACGUUCCCGGGCCUU